RNAcentral lists this long non-coding RNA (836 nucleotides) under Lupinus angustifolius (narrow-leaved blue lupine). Its description in RNAcentral is "long non-coding RNA (LANG_LNC002795)". The record is from RNAcentral. Lineage: Eukaryota; Viridiplantae; Streptophyta; Magnoliopsida; Fabales; Fabaceae.
CGGCUGUCGCCAUAAUGCAAUAUGGCAGAUUUAAAUCAUUUAUCAUUCCUUGAGUUUAGGACUUGGCCUUUUUCUCCAAGUUCAGAUCACAAUUAAAAUUUAGAAAAGUAAAUACUCAGAAUAAGCAAAAAGAGAAAGCGGAAAGCCACCAACCAAAUUCAUUUUAACAUUGUGCACAAUUUAACUGAAAACUGCAGAGGACAACAAUCCAAUAAGAAAAGAUAACAAAUCUAUUCGAUCAUAUCAAACUAAGCAUAUCUUUUCCUUCCACCUAAUAUAUUGAGAAUGCUUAGAAUGUGUAUAAAUAGAUGACAUCCAUCUUCACUUUUACAAUCUUGAGGCACUUGGAACAUUCAGCAACAUGAAUGUGCACUUGUUAGGCUGCUUUGCCUGCACAUAAAACAACCUAAGAUUUUAGACCAAGUUACAUGUUUUUGUUCGUAUAAUUAAGGGUAUCCCCUCAUCCCGUGGAUAAAGAAGUAUGUGUGGUUGUCCUCUCAACAACCGCUGCUCAGAGAAAUCGAUUUUUUUUACCUUUUAGUUAUUUUGGGAUGCAAUAGAGUCUUACAUCACUAAACCAAGUUAUUUAACUCUAAUAAAAUUGUUUUUUGAUAGACAAUAAGAAAGAUGCAAACCUUGAAUGAAGACAUUUAGGAAGUGAAGAAAGAUCCACUCUUGAUAGCAUCUUCAUUAGCAUUACCAAGAGCAGCCUCAUUCAAGUACUUGUCUGCCAAUUGGACUCUCUUCACAUUGUCUUGUUCUUGGACAAGCAUGUUACCAUAUCCCAAGAGAGUCUCCAGUGUCAUCUUUGGCUGGUCAAAAGUUGGAGGUCCUUC